This 253-nucleotide ribosomal RNA is filed under the name uncultured bacterium. RNAcentral describes it as "partial 16S ribosomal RNA". It matches the Rfam family "Bacterial small subunit ribosomal RNA", at positions 524 to 776 of the family's 1533-position model. The record is from RNAcentral.
UACAGAGGGUGCGAGCGUUGUUCGGAAUUAUUGGGCGUAAAGGGCGCGCAGGCGGCACUACAAGUACGAUGUGAAAUCUCCCUGCUCAACGGGGAGGGUGCAUUGUAGACUGUAGAGCUAGAGAACGGUAGAGGGGGGUAGAAUUGCUGGUGUAGCGGUGAAAUGCGUAGAGAUCAGCAGGAAUACCCGUGGCGAAGGCGACUACCUGGCCUGUUCUUGACGCUGAGGCGCGAAAGCUGGGGGAGCAAACGGG